UUAAGCGACUAAGCGUACACGGUGGAUGCCCUGGCAGUCAGAGGCGAUGAAGGACGUGCUAAUCUGCGAUAAGCGUCGGUGAGGUGAUAUGAACCGUUAUAACCGGCGAUUUCCGAAUGGGGAAACCCAGUGUGUUUCGACACACUAUCAUUAACUGAAUCCAUAGGUUAAUGAGGCGAACCGGGGGAACUGAAACAUCUAAGUACCCCGAGGAAAAGAAAUCAACCGAGAUUCCCCCAGUAGCGGCGAGCGAACGGGGAGGAGCCCAGAGCCUGAAUCAGUGUGUGUGUUAGUGGAAGCGUCUGGAAAGGCGCGCGAUACAGGGUGACAGCCCCGUACACAAAAAUGCACAUAUUGUGAGCUCGAUGAGUAGGGCGGGACACGUGGUAUCCUGUCUGAAUAUGGGGGGACCAUCCUCCAAGGCUAAAUACUCCUGACUGACCGAUAGUGAACCAGUACCGUGAGGGAAAGGCGAAAAGAACCCCGGCGAGGGGAGUGAAAAAGAACCUGAAACCGUGUACGUACAAGCAGUGGGAGCCUCUUAAUGGGGUGACUGCGUACCUUUUGUAUAAUGGGUCAGCGACUUAUAUUCUGUAGCAAGGUUAACCGAAUAGGGGAGCCGAAGGGAAACCGAGUCUUAACUGGGCGUUAAGUUGCAGGGUAUAGACCCGAAACCCGGUGAUCUAGCCAUGGGCAGGUUGAAGGUUGGGUAACACUAACUGGAGGACCGAACCGACUAAUGUUGAAAAAUUAGCGGAUGACUUGUGGCUGGGGGUGAAAGGCCAAUCAAACCGGGAGAUAGCUGGUUCUCCCCGAAAGCUAUUUAGGUAGCGCCUCGUGAAUUCAUCUCCGGGGGUAGAGCACUGUUUCGGCAAGGGGGUCAUCCCGACUUACCAACCCGAUGCAAACUGCGAAUACCGGAGAAUGUUAUCACGGGAGACACACGGCGGGUGCUAACGUCCGUCGUGAAGAGGGAAACAACCCAGACCGCCAGCUAAGGUCCCAAAGUCAUGGUUAAGUGGGAAACGAUGUGGGAAGGCCCAGACAGCCAGGAUGUUGGCUUAGAAGCAGCCAUCAUUUAAAGAAAGCGUAAUAGCUCACUGGUCGAGUCGGCCUGCGCGGAAGAUGUAACGGGGCUAAACCAUGCACCGAAGCUGCGGCAGCGACACUAUGUGUUGUUGGGUAGGGGAGCGUUCUGUAAGCCUGUGAAGGUGGCCUGUGAGGGUUGCUGGAGGUAUCAGAAGUGCGAAUGCUGACAUAAGUAACGAUAAAGCGGGUGAAAAGCCCGCUCGCCGGAAGACCAAGGGUUCCUGUCCAACGUUAAUCGGGGCAGGGUGAGUCGACCCCUAAGGCGAGGCCGAAAGGCGUAGUCGAUGGGAAACAGGUUAAUAUUCCUGUACUUGGUGUUACUGCGAAGGGGGGACGGAGAAGGCUAUGUUGGCCGGGCGACGGUUGUCCCGGUUUAAGCGUGUAGGCUGGUUUUCCAGGCAAAUCCGGAAAAUCAAGGCUGAGGCGUGAUGACGAGGCACUACGGUGCUGAAGCGACAAAUGCCCUGCUUCCAGGAAAAGCCUCUAAGCAUCAGGUAACAUCAAAUCGUACCCCAAACCGACACAGGUGGUCAGGUAGAGAAUACCAAGGCGCUUGAGAGAACUCGGGUGAAGGAACUAGGCAAAAUGGUGCCGCAACUUCGGGAGAAGGCACGCUGAUAUGUAGGUGAAGCGACUUGCUCGUGGAGCUGAAAUCAGUCGAAGAUACCAGCUGGCUGCAACUGUUUAUUAAAAACACAGCACUGUGCAAACACGAAAGUGGACGUAUACGGUGUGACGCCUGCCCGGUGCCGGAAGGUUAAUUGAUGGGGUUAGCGGUAACGCGAAGCUCUUGAUCGAAGCCCCGGUAAACGGCGGCCGUAACUAUAACGGUCCUAAGGUAGCGAAAUUCCUUGUCGGGUAAGUUCCGACCUGCACGAAUGGCGUAAUGAUGGCCAGGCUGUCUCCACCCGAGACUCAGUGAAAUUGAACUCGCUGUGAAGAUGCAGUGUACCCGCGGCAAGACGGAAAGACCCCGUGAACCUUUACUAUAGCUUGACACUGAACAUUGAGCCUUGAUGUGUAGGAUAGGUGGGAGGCUUUGAAGUGUGGACGCCAGUCUGCAUGGAGCCGCCUUGAAAUACCACCCUUUAAUGUUUGAUGUUCUAACGUUGGCCCGUAAUCCGGGUUGCGGACAGUGUCUGGUGGGUAGUUUGACUGGGGCGGUCUCCUCCUAAAGAGUAACGGAGGAGCACGAAGGUUGGCUAAUCCUGGUCGGACAUCAGGAGGUUAGUGCAAUGGCAUAAGCCAGCUUGACUGCGAGCGUGACGGCGCGAGCAGGUGCGAAAGCAGGUCAUAGUGAUCCGGUGGUUCUGAAUGGAAGGGCCAUCGCUCAACGGAUAAAAGGUACUCCGGGGAUAACAGGCUGAUACCGCCCAAGAGUUCAUAUCGACGGCGGUGUUUGGCACCUCGAUGUCGGCUCAUCACAUCCUGGGGCUGAAGUAGGUCCCAAGGGUAUGGCUGUUCGCCAUUUAAAGUGGUACGCGAGCUGGGUUUAGAACGUCGUGAGACAGUUCGGUCCCUAUCUGCCGUGGGCGCUGGAGAACUGAGGGGGGCUGCUCCUAGUACGAGAGGACCGGAGUGGACGCAUCACUGGUGUUCGGGUUGUCAUGCCAAUGGCACUGCCCGGUAGCUAAAUGCGGAAGAGAUAAGUGCUGAAAGCAUCUAAGCACGAAACUUGCCCCGAGAUGAGUUCUCCCUGACCCUUUAAGGGUCCUGAAGGAACGUUGAAGACGACGACGUUGAUAGGCCGGGUGUGUAAGCGCAGCGAUGCGUUGAGCUAACCGGUACUAAUGAACCGUGAGGCUUAACCUU
Molecule: ribosomal RNA, 2901 nt
Filed under: Escherichia coli DEC2B
Lineage: Bacteria; Pseudomonadati; Pseudomonadota; Gammaproteobacteria; Enterobacterales; Enterobacteriaceae
Description: bacterial LSU rRNA
Rfam family: Bacterial large subunit ribosomal RNA
Source: RNAcentral